RNAcentral lists this ribosomal RNA (2220 nucleotides) under Triticum aestivum (bread wheat). RNAcentral's name for it is "partial small subunit ribosomal RNA". Lineage: Eukaryota; Viridiplantae; Streptophyta; Magnoliopsida; Poales; Poaceae. The record is from RNAcentral.
AACCCCCCAACUGAUGAGAGCACAAACCAACCACCAACACCAAGGCUUCUUAUCCAAGAGUUUCACCCAAGUCAAUUUUUUGGUGAUCCGACAGAUCGAAUACCUAUAGAAGAUUAUGCCCCUGAAAUUCGAAGUGAAGUUAGGAGAGCUUAUUUGUUGAAAGGAAGAAACAAAGCUGAAGGGCAUAAUUUUGAAAUCACAUUGGAUGGUACAAUCCAAAGAUCUUUUCAACCACAAUGGCUAGAUAUGUAUGAUUGGUUGGAAUAUAGUGUGAAAAAGGAGGCUGCCUUUUGCUUCCAUUGUUUUCUUUUUAAGAAACCAACUCAGGCCGCAACAUUUGGAAAUGAUGUAUUCACAUUACAUGGUUAUCAUCGCUGGAAAACAGCUUUGGCAAAUUUUUAAAAACAUAUUGGUGGUCCAUCUAGUUACCACAAUAAUGCUAUAGGCUUGUGUGAUGAUUUCAACAAUCAAAGGGCAAAUGUGGCAACCAGGUUUCGUGUUUACAAUAAAGAGGCUGAGAUAGCCUACAAACGUUUGACUGCAUCAUUGGAUUGUGCAAGGUAUCUCAUAGCACAAGGGGAAGCUUUUCGUGGACAUGAUUAAUCCUCCAAUUCAAUCAACAAAGGGAAUUUUAGGGAGCUCUUGGACUGGUACAAGUGCAAGCGAAAAGAUGUGGAGGAGGCAUUUGAUAAGGGGAGAGGUAAUGCACUUAUGAUAUGUGGAGAUAUUCAAAAGGAUCUUGCUGCAUGUUGCGCAAUGGAGGUAACCAAAGUCAUCAAGAGUGAGCUUGGACAUAAGAAAUUUUUAGUUCUAGUCGAUGAGAGAGAUUGCUCAAUAAAGGAGCAAAUGGCAGUGAUUUUGAGAUUUGUAUCUAGUUUGUGUUGUGUGAAUUCGAGAUUUCUUGCAAUCAAGCACAUCUCUGAUUGAGGAGAAUUCAAUGGUUUGCAAAAGUUGAUUCGAGAUGAGAGCCCAUAUGCUUUCUAUGUACACUGCUUUGCCCAUCAAUUACAGUUGGUAGUUGUCGUUAUUGCUGAUUUCUUCAAUUAUCUCCCCUUUAUAGUGACUCAGGUGGGUUCAUCUUGCAAGAGAAAAGAUGUAUUACUUGCAAAGCAUCACGAUGAUUUGAUGAAACUGAUGGAGCAUGGUAAGAUAUUAGCUGGAACUGGGUUACAUCAAGAAACUAACCUAUCUAGACCAGGAGCUACUCGUUGGGGCUCACAUCUUAGAACCUUGCUUCGUAUUUACACAAUGUGGAAUGCAGUGGUCGAUGUGCUAGCAAUCGUGGUUGACGAUGCACGUGAACACACUUGUCAAGUUGGAGCUUCUGGUUUGAUCAUAAAGACGGAAUGUUUCCAAUUUGUGUUUAUCAUUUUAUUCUUAAUAAACUUGUUGCAAACCACAAAUAUGCUAUCACAAACUUUGCAAAGGAAGAAACAUGAUGUUGUUGAAGCCAUGCGUCUGAUCUCGGAUGUGAAAGAAACUUUGCAAGAUAUGAGGGACAAUGGAUAUGAGUCAUUAUGCAGCCAAGCCAAGAUCUUUUGUGAGGAACAUGGCAUUGAUGUGCCAAAUAUGGAUGAUCUUGUUGGAGCUACGGGUCAAUCUGUUUGCACCAGAAAUAAGGUGACUCGGCAUCAUUAUUUCAAAGUUAGCAUAUUCUAUGUUGUUAUUGAUGCAACUAUGACCGAGAUGAACCAUCGGUUCAAUGAAGUUAACACCGAGUUAGUGGAUUGCAUGUCCUGUCUUAAUCCAGCCAACAACUUUGCAAAGUUUAAUGUUGACAAACUUAUUCGGCUUGCUGAAAUUUAUGCGGAUGAUUUUACAGAAACUGACCAGUUGUUGCUUAGAAUUGACCUUCCAAGAUUCCUUCGAAAUAUCAGGAGAAGUGAGGAAUUUAAUGGAUGUUCGGAUGUUUCCACCCUUGCUCAGUUGAUGGUUCAAUCAACAAAGCAUGCAAAUUUCCCAAUAGUAUAUCGCCUCAUCGAGUUGAAAUUGAUCCUCCCAGUGGCAACUUCAUCCGUUGAGCGAAUAUUUUCAGCAAUGAACAUCAUCAAAACAGAUUUGCGCAAUAAGAUCUCGGAUGAUUGGCUCAAUGACUUAAUGGUAUGCUAUUGUGAGAAAAGGAUAUUCAAAAGUAUUCAUGAUGAUCAGAUCAUGAUACAAUUCCAGAAAAAGAGUGAUCGGAAAGCUCACUUGCCUCGUCAGUAUAAUGUGAUUGCUUAA